UUUUAUGUAUAUGUUGCUGAGAUUUUAGGCCCACAAAGCCCAUCCUUUGACAAAGAGGAUGUGUCACUUUCGUAAAUUUCUCAUCCCUAAACCUAGGCCGUCCUGCUUCCCCUUCCCACUCAAGAGGACGAUUGCAAAACGUCUGCCGUUAUGGCAUCGACUCCUCUACACCCACUACUUGAUCUUCAUUGCUUCUUAACUUUUUCUUCACUGCCGAGCUUGAAAACUAUCUAUAUAGACUGGCAUGAGAAUCUGCAGAGAAAAUCAUUUGCUCCUUCAUCAAUCAUAGAACACUCAGUCUCUUUCAGCCAUCUCCGACUAUGGAAAAUCAUCAACUUCAGUUCGUUGAGUGUAAGGCUGAUCGCUAGAUGAAUGUCGUUAAACUUUUGGCAAAAGGAAAAUCACAUAUCUCACUGAGAAAGAGAUAAGUGACGUCAAAUGGCUACUUGAUUUAGCUACAGUUGAUCCAAAUGUAAAAAGUGGUUUAAGGUGGCCGUUUGGUAAACCUAACUCUAAGGCUUAGGGUGAGAGAGACUGAUAGAUUCAAUGAGAGGAUUGGAACGGGGCAAGUCAAUAGGGAGGUGAUUCUGAUGCUCAAAGACAUGAACUCUAAGUUACAGGUACAUUAUUGUACUCUUUUGUAUCUUUGAAACUCUACUGGAAGUGAAGCUUUGUUUGCUACUUUUUGGUCUGCAGGAGCAGAACAUUGACAGGGGUUGUUUUUUGGAAAUGCUCAGAGACGUUCUUAGAACCUUGUGGGAUUUCUUGCAUUGUGAAGCCUAUCUUACAUGAUAAAGAACAAUGUGAUGUUGAUGGUGCUGUUGAAUUUCUCUCUCUCUUUUAGAUUCUGUUGACCUUCUGGUACAAUAUAUAUAUAUUUUUUUUUAAAAUUGUGUGUGUUGUUAAAGAUUAGAGCUUUGCGUGUUGUCCAAAAACGAAUAGAACUUGUGCUAUUGCGUUUCUCUUUUGCAUUUAGCUGCUUUUUUGGUGCAGUAAUAUUGUGUCUUAAUAUUACUUCUUUUUUCUAACGUAUAGACACACAAAACCAGGCGGCAAGUUUGGCCUUCUGGUUGAACUUUCGCCACAAUAAUGUAGAAUAUGUUCCUACAAAUGUCCCAACUUCAAACUUGCAAGUUGCAACAUAUAAUGAUAAGGUUGUACCAAGCCAUAGAUUCUUUGUUGACUUUGACUUGGGAAAGGUGACACAAUUGCAAUUGAGUAGGUUCAAAUAUUUUUAUUCUCUUCUGAUGUUUUGUGAUCACUGAUCUUAUCGGGUCAAUGCAGUGAAGUUCAGUGACUCAUCAGCUGCCUUCGAUCAUUCGUAACGUGUAUGGGACUGCUGAUCCCAUUGUUUCGAGCCUGUUCAGGUGUUUCUUCCUUCCUUUCCAUAUCUAUUACUUGAUUACUAAUACGUUUCUGGAUAGUCAUGUCUGUUGUUUAACCAAAGACUGAGACUACAGCCACUAAUGCGUAUGGUGUGGAAAAAGAUGUUGGAGCCAUUUUCUCUUCUCUGAGUUAAAAGUUUUUAAUAAAUUUCUGUUGUAUUUGGCUCUUUAAAUCUUCGUGUUAGUUUCCGAACAUGAAAGCAUCAAUUUGUAUUUUCAUACAUAGGUAAGUUCAGUUUGACAGAAAAUCAUCAAACUUAUUUGCUUAAACAAGUACGCUUCAUAUAUUUGACAAUGUGAU
Long non-coding RNA from Raphanus sativus (radish), 1686 nucleotides. RefSeq lists it as uncharacterized. The transcript is spliced from 3 exons. The record is from RefSeq and is a predicted model, not a curated record. NCBI's taxonomy places the organism in Eukaryota, Viridiplantae, Streptophyta, Magnoliopsida, Brassicales, Brassicaceae.